RNAcentral lists this long non-coding RNA (262 nucleotides) under Elaeis guineensis (African oil palm). RNAcentral describes it as "long non-coding RNA (EGUI_LNC061436)". The record is from RNAcentral. Lineage: Eukaryota; Viridiplantae; Streptophyta; Magnoliopsida; Arecales; Arecaceae.
AGGAUCAAACGAUAGCCAUUCGAAACUUGGAGAUGCAAGUGGGUCAAAUGGCCAAGAUGAUCUUCAGAAGACCACAAGGAUCCUUACCUAGCAAUAAGGAGACCAAUCUAAGAGAGCAAAUCAAUGCUAUCAUGCUAAAAAGUGGUAAAGAGCUAGAAGAGCCACAUAAAAAAGAAGAGACUGAAGAGGAAAUAACAAACAAAGAGCUAACUAACAGCACAAAUUAGCCAGCUAAAGUUCAUCAGUUACCUAAAUAGCCAGC